GUCUACGGCCAUACCACCCUGAAUGCGCCUGAUCUCGUCUGAUCUUGGAAGCUAAGCAGGGUUGGGCCUGGUUAGUACUUGGAUGGGAGAGAGAGAAGGGGGGAUUAUUUGACA
This is a ribosomal RNA of Cavia aperea (Brazilian guinea pig), 114 nucleotides long. The record is from Ensembl. Lineage: Eukaryota; Metazoa; Chordata; Mammalia; Rodentia; Caviidae.